UGGGGGAUAACGUAGCGAAAGUUACGCUAAUACCGCAUACGAUCUACGGAUGAAAGCGGGGGAUCGCAAGACCUCGCGCGAUUGGAGCGGCCGAUAUCAGAUUAGGUAGUUGGUGGGGUAAAAGGCUCACCAAGCCAACGAUCUGUAGCUGGUUUGAGAGAACGACCAGCCACACUGGGACUGAGACACGGCCCAGACUCCUACGGGAGGCAGCAGUGGGGAAUUUUGGACAAUGGGCGAAAGCCUGAUCCAGCAAUGCCGCGUGCAGGAAGAAGGCCUUCGGGUUGUAAACUGCUUUUGUACGGAACGAAACGGUCUGCCCUAAUACGGUGGGCUAAUGACGGUACCGUAAGAAUAAGCACCGGCUAACUACGUG
RNAcentral lists this ribosomal RNA (376 nucleotides) under uncultured bacterium. RNAcentral describes it as "bacterial SSU rRNA". It matches the Rfam family "Bacterial small subunit ribosomal RNA", at positions 137 to 507 of the family's 1533-position model. The record is from RNAcentral.